RNAcentral lists this small RNA (125 nucleotides) under Marmota monax (woodchuck). The record is from RNAcentral. Lineage: Eukaryota; Metazoa; Chordata; Mammalia; Rodentia; Sciuridae.
GCAGGGCAUGGUGGCACACGCCUGUAAUCCUAGCAGCUCAGGAGGCUGAGACAGGAGGAUCCUGAGUUCAAAGUCAGCCUCAGCAAAAGCGAGGUGUUAAGCAAUUCAGUGAGACCCUGUCUCUA